GUUCUACCUUGACGAAUUGUAGUUUAAAGAAGUGUUUUCUGUUAGAGGAGUAGCAAAAGCUCCUUGGAAUGGGACAUCAUAGAGGGUGAGAAUCCCGUAUUUGGUUAUUCUUUCUAGCUUUGUGAUACACUUUCAAAGAGUCGGAUUGUUUGGGAAUGCAGUCCAAAAUGGGUGGUAAAUUUCAUCUAAAGCUAAAUAUUGGCGAGAGACCGAUAGCGAACAAGUACCGUGAGGGAAAGAUGAAAAGAACUUUGAAAAGAGAGUUAAACAGUACGUGAAAUUGUCAAAAGGGAAGCGUUUGACACCAGUGUUGUUUUUCCGAAAAUCAAUUAAGAACGGCUUGAUUUUGUGUUGUAUUGACCUUAUCAGCUUUCUUCACUCUUUUUCGAGUCUUUCUU
Molecule: ribosomal RNA, 398 nt
Filed under: uncultured Neocallimastigomycetes
Lineage: Eukaryota; Fungi; Neocallimastigomycota; Neocallimastigomycetes
Description: eukaryotic LSU rRNA
Rfam family: Eukaryotic large subunit ribosomal RNA
Source: RNAcentral